Molecule: ribosomal RNA, 504 nt
Filed under: uncultured Rikenellaceae bacterium
Lineage: Bacteria; Pseudomonadati; Bacteroidota; Bacteroidia; Bacteroidales; Rikenellaceae
Description: bacterial SSU rRNA
Rfam family: Bacterial small subunit ribosomal RNA
Source: RNAcentral
CCUUGCCAGCCCGCUCAGAAACGUUAAAUGAAUUGACGGGGGCCCGCACAAGCGGAGGAACAUGUGGUUUAAUUCGAUGAUACGCGAGGAACCUUACCUGGGCUAGAACGCAUUCGGAAUCAGGCCGAAAGGCCUGCGCCAGCGAUGGCCGCUUGCGAGGUGCUGCAUGGUUGUCGUCAGCUCGUGCCGUGAGGUGUCGGGUUAAGUCCCAUAACGAGCGCAACCCCUACUGCUAGUUGCCAGCGGGUCAUGCCGGGGACUCUAGCGGAACUGCCAGCGUAAGCUGCGAGGAAGGUGGGGAUGACGUCAAAUCAGCACGGCCCUUACGUCCAGGGCUACACACGUGUUACAAUGGCCGGUACAGAGGGCAGCCACCCCGCGAGGGGGCGCGAAUCCCGAAAGCCGGUCCCAGUUCGGAUCGGAGUCUGCAACCCGACUCCGUGAAGCUGGAUUCGCUAGUAAUCGCGCAUCAGCCAUGGCGCGGUGAAUACGUUCCCGGGCCUU